Long non-coding RNA from Lytechinus variegatus (green sea urchin), 1836 nucleotides. RefSeq lists it as uncharacterized. NCBI's taxonomy places the organism in Eukaryota, Metazoa, Echinodermata, Echinoidea, Temnopleuroida, Toxopneustidae. The transcript has 2 exons. The record is from RefSeq and is a predicted model, not a curated record.
CCCCCUCUCUUCAUUGUACGAGAUUUUGCAGUGAACGAAAAACCUGGUAAAUUAUAUCCUUCCUCAUCACCUUCUUUGAGCCAUGUUUCAGUAACUGCGAUAAUAGAUUGAUAUGUAUUAAUGUGAUGUAGAUAUGAGCUAAAAGCAUCAAAAUUUCUUUUCAGGCUACGGCAAUUAAAAUGUAAAAGAAUAUAAAGCGGUAAUCUAUUAAGAUUUGAUAUCAAUUGCUGAAAUUCAUCAAGGGUAUAAUAUUCAUUUUCAACUGAUAAUUCGUCAUGAUUUUCUUCGUCUAAAUGGGUAUUGGUUAUUGGAUUUUUACAUAAAAAACAAUCAGUACUUCCAAUUCCGGAAAUUUGCCUGCCACAAGAACAUGAUAUACUAUUAGACAUAAAUGUAUUAAGUAUUAUUGAUAAAAGACAUUAAAAAAAAAAAACACUUUGAAUAUAAAAAUAUCAAUUACUCAUUAAAACAAAAAAACAAAAAAGACAUGAAAUAGAGCAAGGAUCGCAGUAAUUGCAAGAAUGGAAAACAUUUGAAGCGUCAGCAAGUCUAAAUACUAUAUUAUGAAUAUGAGGGAACACCAACUGUUUUUUUAAUGUUAUUUCAGAUAUAGUUUAAGCAUGCAUGGCUGAUUACUAAAAUCAAAAUUAUCUCCGAACUAAGGAGAAGUGAAUUAAAAAGAACUUAUUUUCAAUAAAACGUAUCGUGAAGGAUACUAGACACAGGGAAUUGAUAAACCUUCUUUUAUACCAAACAACAACUAUUGAAUGGUGAAGAUCGGGCAAGUUCAAUGCCCAUCUUAUUCUCAAUAAACGUUGUCACUUUGAGGUCGUAGCACCCAGAACUAUGUACGAGAAAAUACAAUGAGAUAAGUAGACCUCCUUCUCAUUGGAUAGAAGUUAUUGUUUGGCAACAGAUCUACAGGUAAGUUCAUUGUACAUCAUAUUCUAUAGGUGGUAACACCCAGAAUUGCAUUUGAGAUACAAGAGAUAGAUAAAUCUUCUUUUUAUAUUGAACAAACAAUAUCGUAUCGUGGAGAUUAUGCAAGUUCAUUGCCCACCUUAUUCUAAAGACGUUGUCACUUUGGGGUCAUAGCACCCAGAACUCUGUACGAGAAAAUACAAUGAAAUUAAUAGGCAUUAUUUCAUUGUACAUUAUAUUCUUUUAAUCUGUAGUUGGCAACGCCUAGAAUUGACACGAGAAAUAGAUAAACCUUCUUUUAACAUUAAACAAUCUAUAUUGUAUCGUAAAAGUUCAUUGCCCAUCUUGUACUCAAUAAACAUUGUCAUUUGGGGUCGUCGCAACCAGAACUAUGUACGAAAAAAUAAAACGAGAUAAGUAGGCCUCCUUCUUAUUGGAUAUAAGUUAUUGUUUGAUAUCAGAUCUACAGGUAAGUUCAUUGUUCUUCAUAUUCUAUAGGUGGUAACACCCAGAAUUGUAUUUCAGACACAAGAGAUGGAUAAACCUUCUUUUUAUAUCGAACAAGCACCAAGAAUUCUAUAUGAGAAAAUACAUUGAGAUGAGUAAACUUUCCUCUCAUUGAGUAGGAGUUAUUGUUUGAGAACAAAUCUAUAGGUAACUUCAUUGUACAUCAUAUUCUAUAGGUGAUAACGUCCAGAAUUUUAUUUCAGACACAAGAGAUAGAUUAACCUUCUUUUUAUAUCGAACAAACAAUAUCGUAUCGUGGUGAUUAUGCAAGUUCAUUGCUCAUCUUAUUCUAAAGACAUUGUCACUUUGGGGUCAUAGCACCCAGAACUCUGUACGAGAAAAUACAAUAAGAUGAAUAGGAAUUGUUCUCAUUGGAUAGAAGUUAUUGUUAGAUAACAGAUCUAUAGG